This 29-nucleotide non-coding RNA is filed under the name Homo sapiens (human). The record is from RNAcentral. Lineage: Eukaryota; Metazoa; Chordata; Mammalia; Primates; Hominidae.
UAUUCAGAUCCGUGAAUAGGAGUAAGUGA